RNAcentral lists this ribosomal RNA (429 nucleotides) under Bacteroidota bacterium. Its description in RNAcentral is "Bacteroidetes bacterium partial 16S ribosomal RNA". It matches the Rfam family "Bacterial small subunit ribosomal RNA", at positions 355 to 776 of the family's 1533-position model. Lineage: Bacteria; Pseudomonadati; Bacteroidota. The record is from RNAcentral.
UAGGGAAUCUUCCGCAAUGGACGCAAGUCUGACGGAGCAACGCCGCGUGAGUGAAGAAGGAUUUCGGUUCGUAAAACUCUGUUGUUAGAGAAGAACAGCGCAUAGAGUAACUGUUAUGCGUGUGACGGUAUCUAACCAGAAAGCCACGGCUAACUACGUGCCAGCAGCCGCGGUAAUACGUAGGUGGCAAGCGUUGUCCGGAUUUAUUGGGCGUAAAGCGAGCGCAGGCGGUCAAUUAAGUCUGAUGUGAAAGCCCCCGGCUCAACCGGGGAGGGUCAUUGGAAACGGGUUGACUUGAGUGCAGAAGAGGAGAGUGGAAUUCCAUGUGUAGCGGUGAAAUGCGUAGAUAGAUGGAGGAACACCAGUGGCGAAGGCGACUCUCUGGUCUGUAACUGACGCUGAGGCUCGAAAGCGUGGGUAGCAAACAGG